Molecule: ribosomal RNA, 220 nt
Filed under: uncultured bacterium
Lineage: Bacteria
Description: partial 16S ribosomal RNA
Rfam family: Bacterial small subunit ribosomal RNA
Source: RNAcentral
UAAUGUAUGAGGAUCUGCCCGAUAGAGGGGGAUAACUACUGGAAACGGUGGCUAAUACCGCAUAAUGUCUACGGACCAAAGCAGGGGCUCUUCGGACCUUGCACUAUCGGAUGAACCCAUAUGGGAUUAGCUAGUAGGUGGGGUAAAGGCUCACCUAGGCGACGAUCUCUAGCUGGUCUGAGGGGAUGAUCAGCCACACUGGGACUGAGACACGGCCCAG